This 146-nucleotide non-coding RNA is filed under the name Metabacillus indicus. RNAcentral describes it as "Bacillus cibi FMN sequence". It matches the Rfam family "FMN riboswitch aptamer (RFN element)". Rfam says of the family: The RFN element is a highly conserved domain that is found frequently in the 5'-untranslated regions of prokaryotic mRNAs that encode for flavin mononucleotide (FMN) biosynthesis and transport proteins. This element is a metabolite-dependent riboswitch that directly binds FMN in the absence of proteins. In Bacillus subtilis, the riboswitch most likely controls gene expression by causing premature transcription termination within the 5' untranslated region of the ribDEAHT operon and precluding access to the ribosome-binding site of ypaA mRNA. The record is from Rfam by way of RNAcentral. Lineage: Bacteria; Bacillati; Bacillota; Bacilli; Caryophanales; Bacillaceae.
GUUUUCCUUCGGGGCAGGGUGAAAUUCCCAACCGGCGGUGAUAAAGCAGAUGCUUUUCAGUCCGUGACCCGGCUGCACAGUGUGCAGGCGGUGGAUCCAGUGAAAUUCUGGAGCCGACAGUAUAGUCUGGAUGGGAGAAGGAACAC